GUACUUACCUGGCAGGGAGGCUCCCAUGAUCAGGAAGGCGAGGCUUAUCCAUUGUACUCUGGAUGUUCUGACCCCUGUAGUUUCCCCAAAUGUGGAAAACCGGACUGCCUAAUUUAUGGUUUAAAAGAUUUAAAAAAUAAUUUAAU
RNAcentral lists this small nuclear RNA (146 nucleotides) under Otolemur garnettii (small-eared galago). RNAcentral describes it as "U1 spliceosomal RNA (ENSOGAG00000020922.1)". It matches the Rfam family "U1 spliceosomal RNA". Rfam says of the family: U1 is a small nuclear RNA (snRNA) component of the spliceosome (involved in pre-mRNA splicing). Its 5' end forms complementary base pairs with the 5' splice junction, thus defining the 5' donor site of an intron. There are significant differences in sequence and secondary structure between metazoan and yeast U1 snRNAs, the latter being much longer (568 nucleotides as compared to 164 nucleotides in human). The record is from RNAcentral. Lineage: Eukaryota; Metazoa; Chordata; Mammalia; Primates; Galagidae.